Molecule: unclassified non-coding RNA, 379 nt
Filed under: plant metagenome
Description: partial contains 5.8S ribosomal RNA, internal transcribed spacer 2, and large subunit ribosomal RNA
Rfam family: 5.8S ribosomal RNA (bases 1-106)
Source: RNAcentral
CGAAAUGCGAUAAGUAAUGUGAAUUGCAGAAUUCAGUGAAUCAUCGAAUCUUUGAACGCACCUUGCGCUCCUUGGUAUUCCUUGGAGCAUGCCUGUUUGAGUAUCAUGAAAUCUUCAAAGUAAAUCUUUUGUUAACUCAAUUGGUUUCUACUUUGGUAUUGGAGGUCUUUGCAGCUUCACACCUGCUCCUCUUUGUUCAUUAGCUGGAUCUCAGUGUUAUGCUUGGUUCCACUCGGCGUGAUAAGUUAUCUAUCGCUGAGGACACUGUAAAAGGUGGCCAAGGUAAAUGCAGAUGAACCGCUUCUAAUAGUCCAUUGACUUGGACAAUACUUUUAUGAUCUGAUCUCAAAUCAGGUAGGACUACCCGCUGAACCUAAGC